This 520-nucleotide unclassified non-coding RNA is filed under the name uncultured Entrophospora. Its description in RNAcentral is "SSU rRNA". It matches the Rfam family "Eukaryotic small subunit ribosomal RNA", at positions 569 to 1080 of the family's 1831-position model. Lineage: Eukaryota; Fungi; Glomeromycota; Glomeromycetes; Entrophosporales; Entrophosporaceae. The record is from RNAcentral.
AGCAGCCGCGGUAAUUCCAGCUCCAAUAGCGUAUAUUAAAGUUGUUGCAGUUAAAAGCUCGUAGUUGAAUUUCGGGAUUGGCGCAUCGGUCGUGCCUCACGGGGUAUGAACUGGUGCAGUCAAUUUCUCACCUUCUGGAGAACCGCGAUGUCCUUAAUUGGAUGCCGCGGGGAACCAGGACCUUUACUUUGAAAAAAUUGAGUGUUUAAAGCAGGCAUUUUUGCUUGAAUACAUUAGCAUGGAAUAAUAAAAUAGGACGGCAUGGUUCUAUUUUGUUGGUUUCUAGGACCACCGUAAUGAUUAAUAGGGAUAGUUGGGGGCAUUAGUAUUCAAUUGUCAGAGGUGAAAUUCUUGGAUUUAUUGAAGUACUAACUACUGCGAAAGCAUUUGCCAAGGAUGUUUUCAUUAAUCAAGAACGAAAGUUAGGGGAUCGAAGACGAUCAGAUACCGUCGUAGUCUUAACCAUAAACUAUGACCGACUAGGAAUCAGACGAUUGUUUAAUUUUUAAUGUACUUCGUU